RNA transcript from Zingiber officinale, 1120 nucleotides. RefSeq lists it as uncharacterized. Lineage: Eukaryota; Viridiplantae; Streptophyta; Magnoliopsida; Zingiberales; Zingiberaceae. The record is from RefSeq and is a predicted model, not a curated record. The transcript has 6 exons.
UAACGUUUUCCUUCGCUUCGCUCGUUUCAUUUUUGCCGGCUCGAUGAUAACGAUGAGAGGGAGCAGGCCUCUCUACUGCCACAGCGGCGGUGGCGGCGCUCCAGCUCCCUCACUGUUUUCCCCUUCUCCAAAUCACACAGCUCGCCGGACCCGGUGCCUCUCCGUUUCCACUGCCGUGCCGGAAGUCUCGGACCAGCCCUCCGCGUUGCCACUCUCCCUCCGCCGCCGGCUUAUUCUCCUCCGUCACGCUGCGAGCAGGCUCAGCGACCGGCUCACUAAAGAUCAUGAUCGCCCAUUGAGUAAAGCAGGCAGAAAUGAUGCAAUAAGCAUCUCCAACAAGCUUCAGCAGAUGGGCUGGAUACCUGAGCUCAUUCUGUCAAGUGAUGCUGCCAGAACAAAGGAAACUCUUCAAAUCAUGCAAGAGAAUGCACAGGGAUUCUCUGAAGCAGAGGUAUAUUUCAUGCCAAGCUUUUAUCCUAUAGCAGCCAUGGACGGCCAGACAGCGGAGCACCUUCAGAAGGCUAUUUGUGAAUAUUCAAGGGAUGAGAUCCUUACAGUGAUGUGCAUGGGGCACAAUAGAGGCUGGGAGGAAGCAGCAUCAAUAUUCUCUGGUGCAGUGGUAGAACUUAAGACUUGCAAUGCAGCUUUACUUGAAUCUAAGGGAAAAUCAUGGGAGGAGGAUAUACAAAAGCCAAAAGUAGUGAUAUGAAGGCAUCGUUACUGUUAAUAUCUCUUCUCUCUGAAAUUGUUCUCUAAUGAUGCAACUGUGGAAUUUGCAUACCUGAAUGCAAUAUUGGCUUUUGCACAAGCUGGCCUGGGGGGGUGGAGGCUACAUGAAGUGGUGACACCUUAAAUUCACGGACACCACAGAGAAUCCUGUUUAGUGAAACUCGAACCCAUUCAUCUUUCUCGGCAGUUAUCAGUGAGAGCAAUUUGUUGUUGCACUUCUCCGCCGAGGGCUUCAUCUUGAAAAUGAAAUCUGAUAUGAAAUAUUCUGAUGUGCUAUGUUUUCAUAUAUGCUAUUGUUGAGCCUUGUAGCAAAAACCAGGACAAGAAGAUUGUAUGCUUGUUGUAAAAAGUUUGAGGAAAUUAUUUAACCAGUUAAGUAAAAUUCUUAUGA